Molecule: long non-coding RNA, 302 nt
Organism: Pipistrellus kuhlii (Kuhl's pipistrelle)
Lineage: Eukaryota; Metazoa; Chordata; Mammalia; Chiroptera; Vespertilionidae
Exons: 2
Source: RefSeq, a predicted model, not a curated record
UUAAUAAUGUGGAUUUUUUUCAAGAGAUGGAGUUACACAUAUGUUGAUAUAUAUGUGAUUUGAUGUGUAUGCCAUUUUGUUGUACCUUGCUCCUUCAGAUUACCACUUGUUCCAAUCAAUGGCACAUGCCCUUUCUGAGCAGCACUUCAAUAUGUACAAAGAGUGGAAAAUUGGGUCACUGAAUGGUUUGCCUCAAAAGAAGAAAAGUUCUAUUGAGAUGAUAUCCACAAAUUAACCUGAAAGAUGGGGGAAAUGUGUAGCUAGAGAAGGACAUUACUUUGAAUAGAGCACUUUUGAUGUUU